RNAcentral lists this non-coding RNA (107 nucleotides) under Rhizobium sp. EC-SD404. Its description in RNAcentral is "TPP". It matches the Rfam family "TPP riboswitch aptamer (THI element)". From Rfam's summary of the family: Vitamin B(1) in its active form thiamin pyrophosphate (TPP) is an essential coenzyme that is synthesised by coupling of pyrimidine and thiazole moieties in bacteria. Lineage: Bacteria; Pseudomonadati; Pseudomonadota; Alphaproteobacteria; Hyphomicrobiales; Rhizobiaceae. The record is from RNAcentral.
GUUGCUCUAACGGGGUGUUGUCCGGAAACGGACGGCUGAGAGGCGCAUGCCAACCCGAAGAACCUGAUCCGGCUCAUACCGGCGGAGGGAUUAGACGCGUCAGAAAA